Molecule: long non-coding RNA, 2919 nt
Filed under: Gossypium barbadense (sea-island cotton)
Lineage: Eukaryota; Viridiplantae; Streptophyta; Magnoliopsida; Malvales; Malvaceae
Description: long non-coding RNA (GBAR_LNC012224)
Source: RNAcentral
AAAAUUUCAUCAAUUUUAAACUUUUCAAACAUAUAUAAUUUGUCCCUUAAAAGGGCCUACGAGUCCCAAAACAAUCAUUGAAAUUGGUUCGGGAACAAACCGCAAUCUUUCAGACACUUAGAAAUAGGUUUACAUAACUUUAACCAUUAUGAGCCAAAUCUUAUGGCUAUAUACAAUGAAGCAAAAAUGAGCCUAUACAUUUGGCUAAAUCAUAAUAUUAUUUAAUAUCAAUAACUAAUUAUCUAUACAUGCCACUUAUUUGACAAUAAAUAAGAAUUACCAUUAUUCUAAUUUGAUAAACUAAUAGUGUGAUGAUACUUCCGACGAUCUCCAAACCCGAGCCAACCUGACAACACUAAGAGAAAUGGGAAAAUGGUGUAAGCUUAAAAGCUUAGUAAGUUGGCAUAUUAAUAAUAAUAAGCAAUUUAAUUAACAAAUAAUAAUAAGCAAUUUAAUUAACAAUAUUAUCCCACUUCUCAAUAAAUAUGCUCAAAAAAAUAGAAUCAUUAAUUACAUGAUUUCAUCUUUUUACACAAGAUCAGCUAAGGCUGUUUUCCUGAAUCAUGGUCACUAAUUUAAUUAUUUCUUAAGCUACAGAACUCAAAAUCAAGUUUCAUAAAUUUUCCUUGAAACUAGACUUAUAUAAAUUUUUACCAUAAAAUUUUUAGAAUUUUUGGUUUUUCCAAUUAAUACCAGAUUUUUCUUAAAAUUUCCUCUAUUUCACUGUCUGACAAUUCUGACCUCUCUAUAUAAAAACUCAGUUAUCUCAUUGUACAUAAUUCAAAUAAUGUUUUUGAUUAUUCCAAUAAAAAAUAGACUCAUUAAGGUUUCUAAGCAUAUAAACCAUGCCCCAUAAUUAUUUUACCAAGUCAGAACAGGGGAUCACGUAAUCAUUCUGAAUCAGUCUCAUAAAAAUAUAAAUAUCUCAAAAUAUAGAAUUCCUUUGCUUGCUCUAUUUCUUUUAUAUGAAAAUAGACUCAUUAAGAUUUAAUUUCAUAUCUUAUUUAGCCUCUAAUUAAAUUCCUACUAUUUUUGGUGAUUUUUCAAAGUCACAUCACUGCCACUGUCCAAAACAGUUUUAUUGCUAAUUCACUCUUUCACACUUUCUUUGUAUUAACCUCAUUUUAACAUACAUAUCACAAAUCAUUUUCACCACAUUUCAUACAUCACAAGUAUAGGCCCAUCAUUACAAGGUCACCAUAAAAUCAUCCUCAUGUAUAACUUACUUGUUUAUAACCUUACCACAUCCCGGUCACUUAAUGAACACAUCAUUCACAUAACCAAGUUCCUGCACUUAUUCAUCACAAAACUCACAAAGCAGUACAUAGUAAGUCUCCCGUUGAACACUUCGGAUCAAUCCUCGAUACUUGGUGGUUUCAGCACAUAGCCCCACCCAUCAUAUAGUUCGGCUCUCUUGUACACAUGGUGAACACUUAGUACCACCCAUGUGACCUAGCCAGUUUAUCUCGUAGCUCUCUUGUCUACAUGGUGUCCUUCACCUGGAACCACACAUGCGACCUAGCUAUAUAUAUCUCGUAGCUCUCUUGUCUACAUGGUGUACACAUAGUAUCACCCAUGCGACCUAGCUACAUCAUAAUGUCUCAUAGCACUCUUGUACACAUGAUGUGUACUCAGCACCAUACAUGUGACCUAGCUACAUAUCAUCUGUAUCAUCCAAUCUUUCCAAAGGUUCAACCAGGAUUUCUCUCUCUUUUCCAACAAUUUCACCAAUCAAGUAAUUAUCAACAAACAUAUUUCCAAUAUUAUUAUAAAAUAUCAUAAUACAAGUAAAAUUGAUGUAUUACUUACAUAUAACCUUACAUCUCAUUUAAUAUCAAGACAAUAGCAUUAAAUUACACAUUGCAUUAUUAAAAAUCAUAUGAACUUACAAUUGCUCAUAACAUCCAUAAUCAUAGAAAUCACAUUUAUGUAUGAUAAUUCAAUGCACUUCAUGUACCAUAGACAUAUUUUUAAAUCAAUUCAUAAACUUGGCACCAUAUCCUCUAAUUUAACAUAAUUCAAUUAAUUGACUAAAUUUAACUUUCAAAUAUAAAUUACAACAUUAUUGCAGUAUUAUUAUCAUACCAACUUACCUCAAAUGCCGAAACGACUAACUUUCCUGACUUAGCACACAACUUUGUUCUUCAAAAUCUUAAUCCAAAAUUUCAUGUUUUCUUGAUCUAACAUGUCAAAUAACACUUAUUUAACACAUUUUAUCAGCACACUAACCAAUUCAAUUCAUAUAUCAAAUUUUAGAAAAUUUACAAUUAUGCCCCCUAACUUUUCAAAAAUUACACUUUUACCCCUAAGCUCGUAAAGUAAUUUUUAUUCAAUUUCUAUAAAGUUUAAGACAUGCUGAACAUUUUUAUCUUCUAUGACAACUCCAAAUUUUCACUGAUUCACACACUUAUGAUCAAUUAUAACUUUUACAAUUUAACCCCUUUUGACAUUUUUACCGAAAUUCAUCGAAUAAAACUCGUAUUUAACACAUCAAACAUUCAUUAUCUACUAUAAAUCCUAAAAACACAACCAUAUCAUGAAUGGGUAAAUUUUUAAACUCUAAUUUCUCUUCAAUCAAUUGGUAGAAAUAGAAAAUUUAAGCUUCAGGAAUCUCAAAAAUACGAAAUCAUUAAAAACGGGACAAAAACCGUACCUAUAUAAGCCAUGGCAGCUUGGCCGAAUGGAGCUCAUCCAUGGCUGCCAUUUUUAGUUCUUUUCCACGGUUGAAGAAGAAAGAAUAAAAAAAAUAUGAUAGCUUUUAUCAUUUUUGUCUUAUUAGGUCAUUUUAAUGAAUUUACAAAAUUACCCUUUUUAUUUCAACCAAAUUUCAAAAAUACCAAACAAAUAUCCAUCCACUAACUUAUUAAAGGACUAAUUAUCACAUAAGGACUUUCAAUUUAAAACUCAUAACAAUUAGGC